Non-coding RNA from Biomphalaria glabrata, 127 nucleotides. NCBI's taxonomy places the organism in Eukaryota, Metazoa, Mollusca, Gastropoda, Planorbidae. The record is from Rfam.
AACUACCUCAAUCGAAGCCACUCAAUUGUUAUUUCAAUUGUGUGGUCAAAAAUGAGGUAAAAUAAACUUCUCCAGACGGUCGCAUAUCUUAAAAUAUUUGAUUUGCAUACAAAAGAGAGAAACAUUA